This 166-nucleotide ribosomal RNA is filed under the name uncultured bacterium. RNAcentral describes it as "partial 16S ribosomal RNA". It matches the Rfam family "Bacterial small subunit ribosomal RNA", at positions 337 to 504 of the family's 1533-position model. The record is from RNAcentral.
UCCUACGGGAGGCAGCAGUGGGGAAUUUUGGACAAUGGGGGCAACCCUGAUCCAGCAAUGCCGCGGGGGAAGAAGGCCUUCGGGUGUAAAGCUUUUUCUUUGGGAAGAAAGGGGUGUUAAUACCUGGGGUAAUGACGGUACCGAAGAAUAAGCAUUGGUAAUUUGG